CGCUCAGACCCGUGCGACGGGAGUUGGAGGCAAGGCUUCAGGGCGGGAACGCAGCAGAGCACCUCCGACUCCCGGGCGCCGCGGGUAUCUGGGCGGAG
RNAcentral lists this signal recognition particle RNA (98 nucleotides) under Campylobacterota bacterium. RNAcentral's name for it is "Epsilonproteobacteria bacterium (hydrothermal vent metagenome) signal recognition particle sRNA small type". It matches the Rfam family "Bacterial small signal recognition particle RNA". Rfam says of the family: The signal recognition particle (SRP) is a universally conserved ribonucleoprotein involved in the co-translational targeting of proteins to membranes. Archaeal SRP consists of a 7S RNA and homologues of the eukaryotic SRP19 and SRP54 proteins. In most bacteria, the SRP consists of a 4.5S RNA and the Ffh protein (a homologue of the eukaryotic SRP54 protein). The record is from RNAcentral. Lineage: Bacteria; Pseudomonadati; Campylobacterota.